This 715-nucleotide long non-coding RNA is filed under the name Nicotiana benthamiana. RNAcentral's name for it is "long non-coding RNA (NBEN_LNC027605)". The record is from RNAcentral. Lineage: Eukaryota; Viridiplantae; Streptophyta; Magnoliopsida; Solanales; Solanaceae.
UUUAUGUUUCGUAUGUUUAGAUAAUUAUUUUACGCUAUUUCCGCUAUUUCUGCUGGAGUUACUAAUGCUCUAUUAUUUUUGUUUUUGUCUUUGUUUUACUGCUAUUUUUCCUUUUAAAUCCUAUGAGCCGGGGGUCGAUUGGAAACAGCCUCUCUGCCCUUUUGGGUAAGGGUAAGGCUUGUUUACAUAUUACCCUCCCCAGACCCAUCUGGUGGGAGUAUACUGGAUAGUUGUUGUUGUUGUUCUUGAUAUUUAGACAGUUCCAGGAUCAGUUUCAAGGAAAACUUAUUCUGUUUAGAAGUUCCGAACUUCAACAACAAAUCAAGACCAACAAAAUUACUCAUGUGUCAAUCAAGGUAUUUUUACUUAAACUAUAAGAGUGUUUUUUUUUUUUGCUUUAUUUCGGGGUCACAUAAAAUCACAUAAUCUAAUUUCAGGUGUUCGAGGGUGAGACAUCUAAGAAUUUAAUCUUUUUCAAAUUAAAGUAACAGCUUAGUGUAAGUGUAUUCCCGAUUUGUGAUCAGUUGUAGACUAUUCCAGUAAUUUUAGCUUCUUCAUUUUUUCUCAAAUAAAUAUAUAUUACAGUAUUAUUAUACAUAAAUGCAUGUUUUCAUUAUAUUAAGUUGUAUUGGUUCUUUGACGUAAAAAAAAAUUGUAUGGUUCUUAUGUUAUUUUUGGCUUGUCAGAUGUUUGCUACGACUAUUUUAGAUUUUGG